RNAcentral lists this ribosomal RNA (309 nucleotides) under human gut metagenome. Its description in RNAcentral is "bacterial SSU rRNA". It matches the Rfam family "Bacterial small subunit ribosomal RNA", at positions 8 to 312 of the family's 1533-position model. The record is from RNAcentral.
AGAGUUUGAUCCUGGCUCAGGACGAACGCUGGCGGCGCGCCUAACACAUGCAAGUCGAACGAGAGAUGAGGAGCUUGCUCUUCAAAUCGAGUGGCGAACGGGUGAGUAACGCGUGAGGAACCUGCCUCAAAGAGGGGGACAACAGUUGGAAACGACUGCUAAUACCGCAUAAGCCCACGGCUCGGCAUCGAGCAGAGGGAAAAGGAGCAAUCCGCUUUGAGAUGGCCUCGCGUCCGAUUAGCUAGUUGGUGAGGUAACGGCCCACCAAGGCGACGAUCGGUAGCCGGACUGAGAGGUUGAACGGCCACA